This is a long non-coding RNA of Podarcis raffonei (Aeolian wall lizard), 2446 nucleotides long. RefSeq lists it as uncharacterized. Lineage: Eukaryota; Metazoa; Chordata; Lepidosauria; Squamata; Lacertidae. The transcript has 3 exons. The record is from RefSeq and is a predicted model, not a curated record.
AUUGUUGCAUGGAGCAUCAGUGUUCCAGUGUAUGUUUUCUUGGAGAUAAAUCUAUUGAGUUCAAGAGCACUUAUAAAUAAAUGCAUGUUGGUAUGCAGUCUUAAGUCUUUCAGGCUCCUGUGCAAACAUGUGAUCAUCAAGUGAUAUCAUGGGCUGAUUGGGUGGACCAGUUUGAUCACAGUUCUGGACCACGUGCACAUUGCGAACAUCUGCAUAAAGCCUUCCUUAGAUGUGACAGCAUAUAGAGGACUUACGCCUGAUUUGCUCCCUCGAUUUGUAUGUUGUCCUAAUGCAAGUUAACAAGAACAUCCACCGAAGCGUGAAUAUAUGCCAAGGACAUGCCGUUGGUAUUGGACGAACUUCUCACUGAAACUGGAAGACAACCACUGAGCAAAUGAUGUCCCACAUUUAAGUAAGAAGCCACUUCUUUGCACAAAUAUCCCGGCACCAAUUCAAAUGCUUUGCAGCUGAUUGGCAUUCCAUUUUCUCUUUGUUGUUUUACAAUGGAAAGUACACACUCAUCAAUCUCAUAACGUCGACCACAUUUAAGCCCUCGAAAUGUUUUUUGCAUGGAGAUGGGAUUCUGAAUUUUUUCUUCUUUGAUCUCCAAUGACGCACAUUCUUUUCAUCAGCACCAUAUUUCCUUCCUGUUUCUCUAUUGUUUGUCACUUCAGCAUAGUUAAUAACUGCCAUUUUGAAAUUUGUCACGUCUCAGCCCCCAACUGAUAGAUGUUUUCCCUUGACAUGGACACCCAUAUUUUUACUAUCUAAAAACACGUGCUACCUCACACGAUGAAUAACUCACCAGGCAACUAGUGCCACCUGUCAAGAAUGAUGGGUGAUUCUUUUACAAAAUCAACCGAAGUAUAUCAAAGUUCUGCAUGGUUCCUGAGUCCUCAUCUUACAUUACAGUUUCUCUACCUUUACUUUAGGCCACACUUAGGCUUAUAAAAGCCAGAUUUUGAGGGGGAAUGCAGCCUAUAUUUGGACUAAUACAACAACUUCGGGAGAAUAAUUUAGAGUAUUAAAUAUAUUUUCUUAAGUACAUUUCAGCUAUAGAUUCACAUGUAUGCUUGUGUUUGUGCGUACUGUAUGUAUAUUGCUCUGUUUUACUUUUGCACUGGCUUUAUUAGUUCCAUUUUUAAAAUGGACUUUAAAAUGGCAUUUUGAGUCACCUUGAGACACGCUAUAGCUGUAAUGAUUACUGUCAAAGUAUGGCUUGGUUGUGCCAGGUUCAAAUCCCCACUCAGCCAUGAAUUCACUAGGUGACUUUGGGCCAGUUGCCAUCUCUUAGCCUAUCUCCCCUCACAGGGUUGUUGUGGCCUGUUUCCCAUGAUGGUUGUGAAGGAGAACAAUGUACACUGCCCUGAGCUCCUUGGAGAAGGGCAGGAUAAAAACGUAAUUAAAUGCAUGCACAAGAUGAACAACAGUGGACAACAUACCAUAGGUUUUAUGAGUUCGAAAUGAAGGGCUUGCAUUUUUUUUCUCCUCUCAUAAUAAGGUUACCAGAUUUUUUUUCAGUGAAUCCAGGGACACUUUUCAACUUCCUGCUAAAUAGAUGGAUUUUGUCAGGGAACUGAUUUGUAAACCUGGGGACUGUCCCUGAGAAACAGGGACAUCUGGUAACCUUAUCUCAUAAACCAACUGAAACGAACAUGCAAGUCACUGCUCAUACAGUCAAGAAUCGUCACUUGUAGUGUGGAAGCUUUCAGAACCUCAGGUAUUACAUUAUUAUACUAUCAUGAAGCUUUCCCUAGUAAAAUGCUUUGAGGAUUAAGUGCAUUUCUGGGGAGUCUUCAAUCUUGUAGAUGCAGUAUGCCUUAUUCCUUGAAACAUAACAGCUUUGAUUACUUCCAGAAAGCUGCAGUUACCUGUAAUUUGAAGAGGGAAAAGAGUUUACUAUGGAUAACUACUAUAGCUUUUCUGUUUCCGAUAGCAUUGACCUAGUAGGGGACAGAUAACAGCUGUCUUGGGGUAGAACUAAUAUAUUCUGGGAUAAAAGCUGAAAAAAACCAUACUGUGUUCAUAGUCUUUUCUAAAAUGGAGCAGAUUAGACUAUUCACAAAUCAGCAACUCUGGGUUAGUCUCUUGAAUUGUUAAAAAACAACAACACAGCAGCACAACUUUGGGUGCAAUUUUCAUGAUUGCAUGUGCCAAAUUUCUGUGGAUUUUAUCUCCUCUGCAGUUCUGUUAGCUGAACUGUCAAGUUUACUUUUUAUGCUCAGGAGAUUAAAAGUAGUUUGAAGUUCAGUGCUGAAGGUUGCAAUCAUGAAAAUGGACAUUCAAAUGCACAUUGUAGAUUAUUUCCUCUUGUAGUGUUGCACCCCUUUAAGUCCAGAAUGUUUCUUUUUCACAAACUCAAAUGCCCGGUGUCUAGAUAUGUGGUGUCAUCUUAGUUGUGUUUUGUGCUGUAGAACUUUAAAAGUCUAAGCAGCCUUCCCCCCCU